This 406-nucleotide ribosomal RNA is filed under the name uncultured bacterium. Its description in RNAcentral is "partial 16S ribosomal RNA". It matches the Rfam family "Bacterial small subunit ribosomal RNA", at positions 29 to 526 of the family's 1533-position model. The record is from RNAcentral.
AUUGAACGCUGGCGGCAGGCCUAACACAUGCAAGUCGAACGAGUGGCGGACGGGUGAGUAAUGUCUGGGAAACUGCCUGAUGGAGGGGGAUAACUACUGGAAACGGUAGCUAAUACCGCAUACCAUCGGAUGUGCCCAGAUGGGAUUAGCUAGUAGGUGGGGUAAAGGCUCACCUAGGCGACGAUCCCUAGCUGGUCUGAGAGGAUGACGAGCCACAUGGGAACUAGGACACGGUCCAGACGCCUACGGGAGGCAGCAGGGGGGAAUAUUGCACAAGGGGCGCAAGCCUGAUGCAGCCAUGCCGCGUGUAGGAAGAAGGCCUUCGGGUUGUAAAGUACGUUCAGCGGGGAGGCGUUACCCGCAGAAGAAGCACCGGCUAACUCCGUGCCAGCAGCCGCGGUAAUUC